This 432-nucleotide ribosomal RNA is filed under the name uncultured bacterium. RNAcentral's name for it is "bacterial SSU rRNA". It matches the Rfam family "Bacterial small subunit ribosomal RNA", at positions 29 to 507 of the family's 1533-position model. The record is from RNAcentral.
AACGAACGCUGGCGGCAGGCCUAACACAUGCAAGUCGAGCGAGACCUUCGGGUCUAGCGGCGGACGGGUUAGUAACGCGUGGGAACGUGCCCUUCUCUGCGGAAUAGCCACUGGAAACGGUGAGUAAUACCGCAUACGCCCUUCGGGGGAAAGAUUUAUCGGAGAAGGAUCGGCCCGCGUUAGAUUAGAUAGUUGGUGGGUAACGGCCUACCAAGUCUACGAUCUAUAGCUGGUUUUAGAGGAUGAUCAGCAACACUGGGACUGAGACACGGCCCAGACUCCUACGGGAGGCAGCAGUGGGGAAUCUUAGACAAUGGGCGCAAGCCUGAUCUAGCCGUGCCGCGUGUGUGAUGAAGGUCUUAGGAUCGUAAAGCACUUUCGCCAGGGAUGAUAAUGACAGUACCUGGUAAAGAAACCCCGGCUAACUCCGUG